GAGUUUGAUCAUGGCUCAGAUUGAACGCUGGCGGCAGGCCUAACACAUGCAAGUCGAGCGGAUGAAGGGAGCUUGCUCCUGGAUUCAGCGGUGGACGGGUGAGUAAUGCCUAGGAAUCUGCCUGGUAGUGGGGGAUAACGUCCGGAAACGGGCGCUAAUACCGCAUACGUCCUGAGGGAGAAAGUGGGGGAUCUUCGGACCUCACGCUAUCAGAUGAGCCUAGGUCGGAUUAGCUAGUUGGUGGGUAAAGGCCUACCAAGGCGACGAUCCGUAACUGGUCUGAGAGGAUGAUCAGUCACACUGGAACUGAGACACGGUCCAGACUCCUACGGGAGGCAGCAGUGGGAUAUUGGACAAUGGGCGAAAGCCUGAUCCAGCCAUGCCGCGUGUGUG
Molecule: ribosomal RNA, 393 nt
Filed under: uncultured microorganism
Description: bacterial SSU rRNA
Rfam family: Bacterial small subunit ribosomal RNA
Source: RNAcentral